Molecule: ribosomal RNA, 1346 nt
Filed under: uncultured bacterium
Lineage: Bacteria
Description: partial 16S ribosomal RNA
Rfam family: Bacterial small subunit ribosomal RNA
Source: RNAcentral
GACGAACGCUGGCGGCGUGCUUAACACAUGCAAGUCGAACGGAAAGGCCCUGCUUUUGUGGGGUGCUCGAGUGGCGAACGGGUGAGUAACACGUGAGUAACCUGCCCUUGACUUUGGGAUAACUUCAGGAAACUGGGGCUAAUACCGGAUAGGAGCUCCUGCUGCAUGGUGGGGGUUGGAAUGUUUCGGCGGUUGGGGAUGGACUCGCGGCUUAUCAGCUUGUUGGUGGGGUAGUGGCUUACCAAGGCUUUGACGGGUAGCCGGCCUGAGAGGGUGACCGGCCACAUUGGGACUGAGAUACGGCCCAGACUCCUACGGGAGGCAGCAGUGGGGAAUAUUGCACAAUGGGCGGAAGCCUGAUGCAGCAACGCCGCGUGCGGGAUGACGGCCUUCGGGUUGUAAACCGCUUUCGCCUGUGACGAAGCGUGAGUGACGGUAAUGGGUAAAGAAGCACCGGCUAACUACGUGCCAGCAGCCGCGGUGAUACGUAGGGUGCGAGCGUUGUCCGGAUUUAUUGGGCGUAAAGGGCUCGUAGGUGGUUGAUCGCGUCGGAAGUGUAAUCUUGGGGCUUAACCCUGAGCGUGCUUUCGAUACGGGUUGACUUGAGGAAGGUAGGGGAGAAUGGAAUUCCUGGUGGAGCGGUGGAAUGCGCAGAUAUCAGGAGGAACACCAGUGGCGAAGGCGGUUCUCUGGGCCUUUCCUGACGCUGAGGAGCGAAAGCGUGGGGAGCGAACAGGCUUAGAUACCCUGGUAGUCCACGCUGUAAACGGUGGGUACUAGGUGUGGGGUCCAUUCCACGGGUUCCGUGCCGUAGCUAACGCUUUAAGUACCCCGCCUGGGGAGUACGGCCGCAAGGCUAAAACUCAAAGGAAUUGACGGGGCCCCGCACAAGCGGCGGAGCAUGCGGAUUAAUUCGAUGCAACGCGUAGAACCUUACCUGGGUUUGACAUGGAUCGGGAGUGCUCAGAGAUGGGUGUGCCUCUUUUGGGGUCGGUUCACAGGUGGUGCAUGGCUGUCGUCAGCUCGUGUCGUGAGAUGUUGGGUUAAGUCCCGCAACGAGCGCAACCCUUGUUCACUGUUGCCAGCACGUUAUGGUGGGGACUCAGUGGAGACCGCCGGGGUCAACUCGGAGGAAGGUGGGGAUGACGUCAAGUCAUCAUGCCCCUUAUGUCCAGGGCUUCACGCAUGCUACAAUGGCUGGUACAGAGAGUGGCGAGCCUGUGAGGGUGAGCGAAUCUCGGAAAGCCGGUCUCAGUUCGGAUUGGGGUCUGCAACUCGACCUCAUGAAGUCGGAGUCGCUAGUGAUCGCAGAUCAGCAACGCUGCGGUGAAUACGUUCCCGGGGCU